This 1228-nucleotide ribosomal RNA is filed under the name endophytic bacterium YY. RNAcentral's name for it is "bacterial SSU rRNA". It matches the Rfam family "Bacterial small subunit ribosomal RNA", at positions 149 to 1379 of the family's 1533-position model. The record is from RNAcentral.
UCUCGAAAGAGAGAUUAACACCGCAUAACAUCAUUUACCGGCAUCGGUUGAUGAUCAAAUAUUUAUAGGAUAUGGAUGGGCUCGCGUGACAUUAGCUAGUUGGAGGGGUAACGGCCCACCAAGGCUACGAUGUCUAGGGGCUCUGAGAGGAGAAUCCCCCACACUGGUACUGAGACACGGACCAGACUCCUACGGGAGGCAGCAGUAAGGAAUAUUGGUCAAUGGAGGGAACUCUGAACCAGCCAUGCCGCGUGCAGGAUGACUGCCCUAUGGGUUGUAAACUGCUUUUGUCAGGGAAUAAACCUUUCCACGUGUGGGAAGCUGAAUGUACCUGAAGAAUAAGGAUCGGCUAACUCCGUGCCAGCAGCCGCGGUAAUACGGAGGAUCCAAGCGUUAUCCGGAUUUAUUGGGUUUAAAGGGUGCGUAGGCGGUCCUAUAAGUCAGUGGUGAAAGACGGCAGCUUAACUGUCGCAGUGCCUUUGAUACUGUAGGACUUGAAUCUAUUUGAAGUGGGCGGAAUAAGACAAGUAGCGGUGAAAUGCAUAGAUAUGUCUUAGAACUCCGAUUGCGAAGGCAGCUCACUAAGUUAGUAUUGACGCUGAUGCACGAAAGCGUGGGGAUCAAACAGGAUUAGAUACCCUGGUAGUCCACGCCCUAAACGAUGAUAACUCGAUGUUUGCGAUACACAGUAAGCGUCCAAGCGAAAGCGUUAAGUUAUCCACCUGGGGAGUACGGUCGCAAGAUUGAAACUCAAAGGAAUUGACGGGGGCCCGCACAAGCGGAGGAGCAUGUGGUUUAAUUCGAUGAUACGCGAGGAACCUUACCCGGGCUUGAAAGUUAGUGAAUGAUCCAGAGACGGAUCAGUCCUUCGGGACACGAAACUAGGUGCUGCAUGGCUGUCGUCAGCUCGUGCCGUGAGGUGUUGGGUUAAGUCCCGCAACGAGCGCAACCCCUAUGUUUAGUUGCCAGCACAUUAAGGUGGGGACUCUAAACAGACUGCCAGCGUAAGCUGUGAGGAAGGUGGGGACGACGUCAAGUCAUCAUGGCCCUUACGUCCGGGGCUACACACGUGCUACAAUGGAUGGUACAGCGGGCAGCUACAUAGCAAUAUGGUGCUAAUCUCUAAAAGCCAUUCACAGUUCGGAUUGAGGUCUGCAACUCGACCUCAUGAAGUUGGAUUCGCUAGUAAUCGCGUAUCAGCAAUGACGCGGUGAAUACGUUCCCGGGC